Molecule: small nuclear RNA, 107 nt
Organism: Ursus americanus (American black bear)
Lineage: Eukaryota; Metazoa; Chordata; Mammalia; Carnivora; Ursidae
Source: Ensembl
GUGCUCACUUCAGUGACAUUUACACUAAAAUUGGAACGAUGCAGAGAAGAUUAGCUUGGCCCUUGUGCAAGGAGGACAUGCAAAUUCAUGAAGCAUUCCAUAUAGUU